AUGGCUGUCGUCAGCUCGUGUCGUGAGAUGUUGGGUUAAGUCCCGCAACGAGCGCAACCCCUACCCUUAAUUGCCAUCGGGUUAUGCCGGGCACUUUAGGGGGACUGCCGGUGACAAGCCGGAGGAGGGUGGGGAUGACGUCAAGUCCUCAUGGCCUUUAUGACCAGGGCUACACACGUGUUACAAUGGGAGUUACAGAGGGAAGCUAAGCCGCGAGGCCAUGCCAAUCCCAGAAAAACUUUCUCAGUUCGGAUCGCAGUCUGCAACUCGACUGCGUGAAGCUGGAAUCGCUAGUAAUCGCGGAUCAGCACGCCGCGGUGAAUACGUUCCCGGGCCUUGUACACACCGCCCGUCACACCAUGGGAGCCGACAAGGGCAGAAGUCGCCGAGCUAACCUUCGGGAAGCAGGCGCCCAAGCUGUUGUUGACGACUGGGGUGAAGUCGUAACAAGGUAGCCGUAGGAGAACCUGCGGCUGGAUCACCUCCUUUCUAAGGACGCCGGAGAUGCUUUAUGCUUAUCUCUGGAUAGUCAAAGUCGAAACAGACUCUCUUCUCUUCUCUCCCUUUUCUCCUGUAAAUGCUAAGUUAUGAAUUUAGAGCAACGAAGGGAUUGAAUUCGUUACUGUGGACUCCUAAUUUCAAGAGGGGCCUGUAGCUCAGCUUGGUUAGAGCGCAUCCCUGAUAAGGAUGAGGCCGGUGGUUCAAGUCCACCCAGGCCCACCAGGUUCAGUGGGGGAUUAGCUCAGCUGGUAGAGCGCCUGCUUUGCAAGCAGGAGGUCAGCGGUUCGACCCCGCUAUCCUCCACCAAAUUAAUGAACAGUAAAAAAAGUGGUGCAACUUAAGCAGAAGAUAAGCUUCAGCAAUUAUUUAAUAAUUUCUGAAUUUUAUUUUUUAAUAUCUUAGACAAUUGAAUCGGAGGUUUUGGAGACACAAGAUCAAAUGUGAGGGUCUCCAAGGGUUGACGAUCUUGACUGUUAAAGUCAGGUAGUAAGGGCGCAGGGCGGAUGCCUUGGCUCUGGGAAGCGAAGAAGGACGUGGCCAGCUGCGAUAAGCCUCGGGGAAGAGCAAACAUCUUUUGAUCCGGGGAUUUCCGAAUGGGGAAACCCGG
This 1108-nucleotide small RNA is filed under the name uncultured bacterium. RNAcentral's name for it is "bacterial SSU rRNA". The stretch from base 1 to 489 matches the Rfam family "Bacterial small subunit ribosomal RNA", at positions 1045 to 1533 of the family's 1533-position model. The record is from RNAcentral.